UACGUAGGGUGCAAGCGUUGUCCGGAAUUAUUGGGCGUAAAGAGCUCGUAGGCGGUCUGUCGCGUCGGCUGUGAAAUCCCGGAGCUCAACUCCGGGUCUGCAGUCGAUACGGGCAGACUGGAGUUCGGCAGGGGAGACUGGAAUUCCUGGUGUAGCGGUGAAAUGCGCAGAUAUCAGGAGGAACACCGGUGGCGAAGGCGGGUCUCUGGGCCGAUACUGGCGCUGAGGAGCGAAAGCGUGGGGAGCGAACAGG
RNAcentral lists this ribosomal RNA (253 nucleotides) under uncultured bacterium. RNAcentral's name for it is "partial 16S ribosomal RNA". It matches the Rfam family "Bacterial small subunit ribosomal RNA", at positions 524 to 776 of the family's 1533-position model. The record is from RNAcentral.